RNAcentral lists this ribosomal RNA (474 nucleotides) under uncultured organism. RNAcentral's name for it is "partial 16S ribosomal RNA". It matches the Rfam family "Bacterial small subunit ribosomal RNA", at positions 331 to 797 of the family's 1533-position model. The record is from RNAcentral.
GUACACUCCUGCGGGAGGCAGCAGUGGGGAAUUUUGGACAAUGGGCGAAAGCCUGAUCCAGCAAUGCCGCGUGAGUGAAGAAGGCCUUCGGGUUGUAAAGCUCUUUUGUCAGGGAAGAAACGGUGAGAGCUAAUAUCUUUUGCUAAUGACGGUACCUGAAGAAUAAGCACCGGCUAACUACGUGCCAGCAGCCGCGGUAAUACGUAGGGUGCAAGCGUUAAUCGGAAUUACUGGGCGUAAAGCGUGCGCAGGCGGUUUUGUAAGUCUGAUGUGAAAUCCCCGGGCUCAACCUGGGAAUUGCAUUGGAGACUGCAAGGCUAGAAUCUGGCAGAGGGGGGUAGAAUUCCACGUGUAGCAGUGAAAUGCGUAGAUAUGUGGAGGAACACCGAUGGCGAAGGCAGCCCCCUGGGUCAAGAUUGACGCUCAUGCACGAAAGCGUGGGGAGCAAACAGGAUUAGAAACCCUUGUAGUCCC